CGGACGGGUGAGUAAUGUCUGGGAAACUGCCUGAUGGAGGGGGGUAACUACUGGAAACGGUAGCUAAUACCGCAUAACGUCGCAAGACCAAAGAGGGGGACCUUCGGGCCUCUUGCCAUCGGAUGUGCCCAGAUGGGAUUAGCUAGUAGGUGGGGUAAAGGCUCACCUAGGCGGCGAUCCCUAGCUGGUCUGAGAGGAUGACCAGCCACACUGGAACUGAGACACGGUCCAG
This 232-nucleotide ribosomal RNA is filed under the name uncultured bacterium. RNAcentral describes it as "partial 16S ribosomal RNA". It matches the Rfam family "Bacterial small subunit ribosomal RNA", at positions 99 to 334 of the family's 1533-position model. The record is from RNAcentral.